UACGGAGGGUGCAAGCGUUAAUCGGAAUUACUGGGCGUAAAGCGUGCGCAGGCGGUUGUGCAAGACAGAUGUGAAAUCCCCGGGCUCAACCUGGGAAUUGCAUUUGUGACUGCACGGCUAGAGUGUGUCAGAGGGGGGUAGAAUUCCACGUGUAGCAGUGAAAUGCGUAGAGAUGUGGAGGAAUACCGAUGGCGAAGGCAGCCCCCUGGGAUAACACUGACGCUCAUGCACGAAAGCGUGGGGAGCAAACAGG
This 253-nucleotide ribosomal RNA is filed under the name uncultured bacterium. Its description in RNAcentral is "partial 16S ribosomal RNA". It matches the Rfam family "Bacterial small subunit ribosomal RNA", at positions 524 to 776 of the family's 1533-position model. The record is from RNAcentral.